GAUGAACGCUGGCGGCGUGCCUAAUACAUGCAAGUCGAGCGAACAGACGAGGAGCUUGCUCCUCUGACGUUAGCGGCGGACGGGUGAGUAACACGUGGAUAACCUACCUAUAAGACUGGGAUAACUUCGGGAAACCGGAGCUAAUACCGGAUAAUAUAUUGAACCGCAUGGUUCAAUAGUGAAAGACGGUUUUGCUGUCACUUAUAGAUGGAUCCCCGCCGCAUUAGCUAGUUGGUAAGGUAACGGCUUACCAAGGCGACGAUGCGUAGCCGACCUCAGAGGGUGAUAGCCCACACGGGAACUGGGACACCGUCCAGACUCCUACGGGAGGCAGCAGUAGGGAACCUUCGGCAAUGGGCGAAAGCCUGACGGAGCAACGCCGCGUGAGUGAUGGAGGUCUUCGGAUCGUAAAACUCUGUUAUUAGUGAAGAACAAAUGUGUAAGUAACUAUGCACGUCUUGACGGUACCUAAUCAGAAAGCCACGGCUAACUACGUG
Molecule: ribosomal RNA, 497 nt
Filed under: uncultured bacterium
Lineage: Bacteria
Description: partial 16S ribosomal RNA
Rfam family: Bacterial small subunit ribosomal RNA
Source: RNAcentral